RNAcentral lists this ribosomal RNA (924 nucleotides) under uncultured Stenotrophomonas sp. Its description in RNAcentral is "bacterial SSU rRNA". It matches the Rfam family "Bacterial small subunit ribosomal RNA", at positions 56 to 969 of the family's 1533-position model. The record is from RNAcentral. Lineage: Bacteria; Pseudomonadati; Pseudomonadota; Gammaproteobacteria; Lysobacterales; Lysobacteraceae.
UGCAAGUCGAACGGCAGCACAGAGAGAGCUUGCUCCUUGGGUGGCGAGUGGCGGACGGGUGAGGAAUACAUCGGAAUCUACUUUUUCGUGGGGGAUAACGUAGGGAAACUUACGCUAAUACCGCAUACGACCUACGGGUGAAAGCAGGGGACCUUCGGGCCUUGCGCGAUUGAAUGAGCCGAUGUCGGAUUAGCUAGUUGGCGGGGUAAAGGCCCACCAAGGCGACGAUCCGUAGCUGGUCUGAGAGGAUGAUCAGCCACACUGGAACUGAGACACGGUCCAGACUCCUACGGGAGGCAGCAGUGGGGAAUAUUGGACAAUGGGCGCAAGCCUGAUCCAGCCAUACCGCGUGGGUGAAGAAGGCCUUCGGGUUGUAAAGCCCUUUUGUUGGGAAAGAAAUCCAGCUGGCUAAUACCCGGUUGGGAUGACGGUACCCAAAGAAUAAGCACCGGCUAACUUCGUGCCAGCAGCCGCGGUAAUACGAAGGGUGCAAGCGUUACUCGGAAUUACUGGGCGUAAAGCGUGCGUAGGUGGUCGUUUAAGUCCGUUGUGAAAGCCCUGGGCUCAACCUGGGAACUGCAGUGGAUACUGGGCGACUAGAGUGUGGUAGAGGGUAGCGGAAUUCCUGGUGUAGCAGUGAAAUGCGUAGAGAUCAGAGGAACAUCCAUGGCGAAGGCAGCUACCUGGACCAACACUGACACUGAGGCACGAAAGCGUGGGGAGCAAACAGAUUAGAUACCCUGGUAGUCCACGCCCUAAACGAUGCGAACUGGAUGUUGGGUGCAAUUUGGCACGCAGUAUCGAAGCUAACGCGUUAAGUUCGCCGCCUGGGGAGUACGGUCGCAAGACUGAAACUCAAAGGAAUUGACGGGGGCCCGCACAAGCGGUGGAGUUUGUGGUUUAAUUCGAUGCAACGCGGAAGAA